RNAcentral lists this ribosomal RNA (834 nucleotides) under Streptomyces sp. RNAcentral's name for it is "bacterial SSU rRNA". It matches the Rfam family "Bacterial small subunit ribosomal RNA", at positions 95 to 943 of the family's 1533-position model. The record is from RNAcentral. Lineage: Bacteria; Bacillati; Actinomycetota; Actinomycetes; Kitasatosporales; Streptomycetaceae.
GUGGCGACGGGUGAGUAACACGUGGGCAAUCUGCCCUUCACUCUGGGACAAGCCCUGGAAACGGGGUCUAAUACCGGAUAACACUCCUGCCUGCAUGGGCGGGGGUUAAAAGCUCCGGCGGUGAAGGAUGAGCCCGCGGCCUAUCAGCUUGUUGGUGGGGUAAUGGCCUACCAAGGCGACGACGGGUAGCCGGCCUGAGAGGGCGACCGGCCACACUGGGACUGAGACACGGCCCAGACUCCUACGGGAGGCAGCAGUGGGGAAUAUUGCACAAUGGGCGAAAGCCUGAUGCAGCGACGCCGCGUGAGGGAUGACGGCCUUCGGGUUGUAAACCUCUUUCAGCAGGGAAGAAGCGAGAGUGACGGUACCUGCAGAAGAAGCGCCGGCUAACUACGUGCCAGCAGCCGCGGUAAUACGUAGGGCGCAAGCGUUGUCCGGAAUUAUUGGGCGUAAAGAGCUCGUAGGCGGCUUGUCACGUCGGAUGUGAAAGCCCGGGGCUUAACCCCGGGUCUGCAUUCGAUACGGGCUAGCUAGAGUGUGGUAGGGGAGAUCGGAAUUCCUGGUGUAGCGGUGAAAUGCGCAGAUAUCAGGAGGAACACCGGUGGCGAAGGCGGAUCUCUGGGCCAUUACUGACGCUGAGGAGCGAAAGCGUGGGGAGCGAACAGGAUUAGAUACCCUGGUAGUCCACGCCGUAAACGUUGGGAACUAGGUGUUGGCGACAUUCCACGUCGUCGGUGCCGCAGCUAACGCAUUAAGUUCCCCGCCUGGGGAGUACGGCCGCAAGGCUAAACUCAAGGAAUUGACGGGGGCCCGCACAAGCAGCGGGAGCAUGUG